This 253-nucleotide ribosomal RNA is filed under the name uncultured bacterium. Its description in RNAcentral is "partial 16S ribosomal RNA". It matches the Rfam family "Bacterial small subunit ribosomal RNA", at positions 524 to 776 of the family's 1533-position model. The record is from RNAcentral.
GACAGAGGGGGCGAGCGUUGUCCGGAGUCACUGGGCGUAAAGCGCGCGCAGGCGGCAACCUAAGUGUCGUGUGAAAGCCCCCGGCUCAACCGGGGGAGGCCAUGGCAAACUGGGUCGCUCGAGCUGCGGAGAGGCCCCUCGAAUUGCCGGUGUAGCGGUGAAAUGCGUAGAGAUCGGCAGGAAGGCCAAAGGGGAAGCCAGGGGGCUGGCCGCAGGCUGACGCUGAGGCGCGACAGCGUGGAGAGCAAACCGG